AAUGACUUGCCCCAAAUCUCAGAGCAGGGAUUCAUAAAAUUCUAAAUGUAGAGUUUGGAGGUUGAAAAGUGUUGUCAGCAGGAGGCCAGCAGGGGGUACCAUGAAACUAAACUUUGGCAUUCCUCACAGGUUCUGAUCCUGAGUCUUACUCUCCAGCUCUUCAACAAAGUUCAGCUUGCUGUUCCUGGGAGAAGGCUUAUUAUGCCCAUUUAUAUGCAGGGAUCUUGUGGUAACAAGAGUACAUCAGAAGCUGAUCAUCUGAAAGCUUCUUCUGGAAACUGCACAAUCAAGCUGGAACUGAAAUGAGACAAACAUCCCUGAAAAAUAGCUGUUCCCAGCCUGAGAGCAACCAAGAAAAGGCUUCACCAGCAGGAAUACCAAGAACUCCUCCAAAGGGAGCCAGCACCGUGAGGCACGCUGCACCUCAACAAAGACCACCAACAUUCAGGAUGACAGUCCCAGUAUUGCUGAAUCCCUGCCAUGCUAUGAUUAUUCUUGUUUAAUUAAUGUUUAAUUUGGAGAGUUGAUGUUGACAGGCUCAAUGUGUGCACAUCGAAAGCACCAGGUUCAAAAGUAAGUGUGAGUGGGUGGGUAACUGCCCCACCCAUUGUCCUUAAUACAUUUAGAAUGUGCAUCUUCUGAACUGAUUGCAAAUGCUUUAUGCUUAGUCUACAGUUUCUACAUCAGAUGCUGGAGCAGGUUCCAGCUGGGACUCCUUAACUUAUUUUUUGGAAUUCUAUCCAGUACCACUAGCCCUAAUGGUUCCCCAUGUCCAACCCAAAUCCCACACAGGAGAUUGCCCAGAGAGGAGACAGUCUGGUUGCCACACAAUGCCCUCCCACCCCCAUCACCUUG
Molecule: long non-coding RNA, 855 nt
Organism: Antechinus flavipes (yellow-footed antechinus)
Lineage: Eukaryota; Metazoa; Chordata; Mammalia; Dasyuromorphia; Dasyuridae
Exons: 3
Source: RefSeq, a predicted model, not a curated record